Molecule: long non-coding RNA, 944 nt
Organism: Scylla paramamosain (green mud crab)
Lineage: Eukaryota; Metazoa; Arthropoda; Malacostraca; Decapoda; Portunidae
Exons: 7
Source: RefSeq, a predicted model, not a curated record
UGGGACAACUUGGUGAUUUGAAGGGACAAGUGAAUGCACUGAGAGAGAAGGUGAAGGUGGAGGGCAGUUCCUACCUGUCGUAUGUGUCUCAGGUGUCGUCGUCAAUCUUGGACUUGAUCUUCCAGAUACAAGACGAGAACACAAGCAAGAGGAAGGAGGAGGAGGAAGAGGAGAGGAAGAGAUCGGACAGCCUUCACCAGCAGCUGACAGAGACCCAACACAAGCUGGCAGACACUCAACACAAGCUGGCAGACACACAACACAAGCUGGCAGACACUCAACACAAGCUGGCGGACACACACAGACUGGCUGAUGUUUAUAAAGGCCAGUUGGAAGAUGCUCACAGGGAGAUAGAAGUAUAUAUGGACCAAUUGCAUAGACAAGAACAAAGCCUACAGCAAGCAGGAACAGAAGCAGAGGAGGCAAGACAGAAGAUGGAGGAGGAGAGGAAGAAGGAGGUGGAGGAGGUGGAGGAAAGGUGGAGAGAGAAGAUGAAGCAAGCUACUCUAGAACAUGAACUGGAGAUGGAAGAGUUAAGACAGCAGUUAGGAACAGUGAAGGAGACGCUGGUGGCCAGCCUGGAGGGAAGAGUGGAGGAGAAAAGUAAGGGAGCAACUUCAACAAGAAAAAGAAAGAAUUGUAAAGAUUUUGGAAACGAGUUUUGUAGAGAGGGAAAGAAAUGCACUGGAAAUAUUGAAGGCAGAGCUACUGGAAAAGUUGAGGCAGGAGAAGGAGGAAGCAGUGGAAGAAGAAGGGAACAAGAUCAGAGCUGAGUGGAAGAAAGAUUUGCAUAGGAAAGAAGAAGAAAAGAAGAGAGAAAGACAAGAAUUUCUGGAGAAUGAGAGGAGGCACUGGGAGAAGGAGAAGGAAGAGGAAGUGCAGAGGAAACUUGCUCUUGUGGUGGAGGAAGGCCGAAGGGAACUGGAGGAGGAGAGAAAGAGGGC